RNAcentral lists this long non-coding RNA (1099 nucleotides) under Cicer arietinum (chickpea). RNAcentral describes it as "long non-coding RNA (CARI_LNC003704)". The record is from RNAcentral. Lineage: Eukaryota; Viridiplantae; Streptophyta; Magnoliopsida; Fabales; Fabaceae.
CAUGAUUGAGAUAGUUAUUGCUAAUUAUAUCUGAUUUUUCCCAAUAGAUAUGCAAAACUUUAGGUUUAAUUCAAUUCGCCUUUACUAAUUUAGUUUUGUGUAAAUACACAAAACGUUGCAUAAAUAUAUUAUGCAUUUAAAACAUACAACAUUUCAAUUUACAGACGAAUGCAGUAGAAGUUACAUGAACACAUAUUAUUCCAGCUAUCAUGAAGACUUUAGGCACUUUUCCAUUGUUGUCAUUUGUAACUAUUGUUUGUUUCAACAACAAAUCAACAUCCUUCAUAGAUGGAGGCAAUCCUUCGGAAAUGGAGGCAAAGGUCUUACCAAAGAUAAACCGAGUGUCAAAUGAUGUGUAUAGAUAUUGAAUUUUCCUUUAAUAAUAAAUAAAUCAAUUUAUUUUACAUGAUUGAAAAAAAUAAAUAUUUAUAUAUUUUAUAUAAGAAUUUAAAUAGUUUGGAGGUUCUAUUCUAAUUUUCAAAAUAAGACUUUUAAUAAAAAGAAAAUGCAGUUUGGAGGUUCUAUUCUAGUUUAGCUGAAUCGCGAAAAUAGUCCCCCCAUUUUGUUUCUCCCCAAUUUUAAUCCCCAAAACAGAAUUUUAGUCUAAAAUUUGAUGAAAUUUUAUUUUUUAAAGUCGUACUACACCAUUUAUGAUCAUAUAUUUCAGGUGCAAUUGUUGCAAAUGAGAUCUUGAGAAAUUGUGUGACUUAAAUAAAUGCAAUAAAAAUGAAAUUGCAUGAAGUUUUGGACCAAAAUUCCGCUUAAGGGACCCAAACUAGGGAGAAACAAAAUGGGAGGACUACUUUCACGAUUCAGCUAAAAUAGGGGGACCAAAACUGCAAUUAAACUAAAACUUAAACUAUUUUAUUUAAAUUGUAAAUAACAUCUCAACAUAAUUUGAGAGGUUUUUAAGAAGAUUAGAGAUACGAUAAGAAGCUUUCAAACUUUUAAGAAGAUUUAGGUACGAAAAGAUGCUAUCAAAGAUUGGAACUUUGUUUGGUCCAUGAAAGAUGAAAGAUUGUGUAUCUAAAGCAGAGCCCACUCUUUUCCUUCGCUAUACGAUCCACAAAAAAAAAUUAUAUUCCUCAAAUUGUCUAAG